GCCUGUCCCUGGAAAUGCUGGACAGCUGAAGCCACGAUGACAAAGGAGAAGAUUAGAGGCAACUGAGACCUAACCAAGUCACGGACCUGGAAGAUGAAAAGGAAUGGACAGUUUACCACCCAAGUACAGGAAGGACAUUGUGUGGCAGUGAUUGCUGCACGUUCAACAGAAGCCACAGCCAGACUACAGUUCCCAGCCUCCCUCGUAGUGAGAUGAGCCAUCGGGAUGUGGCACAAACGAGGUUCAUCACUUGCCGUCCCAGCCUAUAAAAACCUCCCACACAAUUCUCCUCUCUUUAGCUUCCCAUCUAUAGGACAGACACUAAGCAUCCUGCAUAGGACCCAAGGGCCUAGUGGUGACCGAAUCACAGGGAGCCCAAGUACCCAAACGACCCUUCCACCAAAUGGGUGGAAGGCCACCUGUUGACCCAGAAUAUUCUUACUGGAUUACAAGUGAGUAAUGCAGAGUUGACUCACACCUCUGAGGAGGGGACAUUGAACAGCAGUGCUGAUAUCUCUGGGAGCUCCAUGAUGCUUAUUCUGGGAUUAGGGAAAAAACUGGAAACUGGAACCAACUGCUUUUAGAACCAGGGACUGUCACCAGGUAAAGAAGUAGUGCCCAAGUGACAUUUACAGGUAUAGCAAAACAAAACAACCUCCCCCGGAACCAUUAACAAGCAACAAACCAAAACUAAAAACCAGCCCAGGAAGCAGCAUGUCCCUUAUCUCUCCUCCAUUCUUGCAGUCUCCUUCCAGAACCUGCUACUGGCAGAACCUUCAGGAAGAAGUUGGCAAAGUCGAAUAUGCUUUGCAGAAUUCCAGACCCACUGUCACAAAACUGAAUAUAGAAAAAUGGCUUUCCAGUAAAGAGGCAAUAACUUAAUUACCAGCAUAAGAAGACAUAUACUUUCAUUGUGUUAAACCACUAAGAUAUUUGGUAUUCGUUACAGCAGC
Molecule: long non-coding RNA, 953 nt
Filed under: Homo sapiens (human)
Lineage: Eukaryota; Metazoa; Chordata; Mammalia; Primates; Hominidae
Description: HSALNT0174187
Source: RNAcentral